RNAcentral lists this microRNA precursor (60 nucleotides) under Gadus morhua (Atlantic cod). Its description in RNAcentral is "microRNA gmo-mir-11280 precursor". The record is from miRBase by way of RNAcentral. Lineage: Eukaryota; Metazoa; Chordata; Actinopteri; Gadiformes; Gadidae.
AUGAGAGAAGAUCCGUGUUCCUCAUCACGUCAGUCGAGGAACACGGAUCAUAACUCACGU